GAUGAACGCUGGCGGCGUGCCUAAUACAUGCAAGUCGAGCGAACGGAUGAGAAGCUUGCUCCUCUGAUGUUAGCGGCGGACGGGUGAGUAACACGUGGAUAACCUACCUAUAAGACUGGGAUAACUUCGGGAAACCGGAGCUAAUACCGGAUAAUAUUUUGAACCGCAUGGUUCUAAAGUGAAAGACGGUCUUGCUGUCACUUAUAGAUGGAUCCGCGCUGCAUUAGCUAGUUGGUAAGGUAACGGCUUACCAAGGCAACGAUGCAUAGCCGACCUGAGAGGGUGAUCGGCCACACUGGAACUGAGACACGGUCCAGACUCCUACGGGAGGCAGCAGUAGGGAAUCUUCCGCAAUGGGCGAAAGCCUGACGGAGCAACGCCGCGUGAGUGAUGAAGGUCUUCGGAUCGUAAAACUCUGUUAUUAGGGAAGAACAAAUGUGUAAGUAACUGUGCACAUCUUGACGGUACCUAAUCAGAAAGCCACGGCUAACUACGUG
RNAcentral lists this ribosomal RNA (497 nucleotides) under uncultured bacterium. Its description in RNAcentral is "partial 16S ribosomal RNA". It matches the Rfam family "Bacterial small subunit ribosomal RNA", at positions 28 to 507 of the family's 1533-position model. The record is from RNAcentral.